UCUAAUAUGGCAGAAAAAUGCCUUGGAUUUAAACCCCAAUAAUGAUUAAACUUAUUUAUUCUAUUAGAA
Molecule: transfer RNA, 69 nt
Filed under: Runaria sp. 'striata'
Lineage: Eukaryota; Metazoa; Arthropoda; Insecta; Hymenoptera; Blasticotomidae
Description: tRNA-Leu
Source: RNAcentral